GUAUCACCUCUUUAGGUCCUUUCAGCAAGGGAAGCUUUUAAUUUCCAGUCCAUGAAAAGCUUCCCUUGCUCAAAUGACCUAAAGAGGUAAUGG
Molecule: non-coding RNA, 93 nt
Organism: Podarcis lilfordi (Lilford's wall lizard)
Lineage: Eukaryota; Metazoa; Chordata; Lepidosauria; Squamata; Lacertidae
Source: the annotation of a GenBank genome assembly